RNAcentral lists this transfer RNA (70 nucleotides) under Glaucidium brasilianum (ferruginous pygmy-owl). RNAcentral's name for it is "tRNA-Glu". The record is from RNAcentral. Lineage: Eukaryota; Metazoa; Chordata; Aves; Strigiformes; Strigidae.
GUUUCUGUAGUUAAGAGAAUAAUGGCGGUUUUUCAGGCCGCAGACCUCGGGUGCCGUCCGAGCAGAAAUU